Trichomycterus rosablanca is the source of this 615-nucleotide non-coding RNA. Lineage: Eukaryota; Metazoa; Chordata; Actinopteri; Siluriformes; Trichomycteridae. The record is from the annotation of a RefSeq genome assembly.
CACUGAGUUUGGUUCCUCCACCAAAAGUGUAGCACAGUGAUACAUUCCAAUAAAGCCGUCGUACAAAAACCUCUGUUCCACUCCAGUGAUUCCACACACACACACACACACACACACACACACACACACACACACACACACACUAUAAGAGCUGUAGUUCUGAUCAGACUGGGUUCAGGACUUUCAGACUCACUGAGACGCAGCACAAUGAUGAAGGUUCUGAUUCUACUGCUGAAUACACUCGGCCUCCUCACUCAACAGUCGUUUGGAGAAACCAUCAUGACUCAGACUCCAGGAUCUCACUCGGUUUCUCCAGGACAAACUGUUACCAUCAACUGCAGAGCCAGUCAGGGCAUUAGCAACAACCUCCACUGGUACCAGCAGAAACCUGGAGAAGCUCCUAAACUCCUGAUCUAUUACGCAACUAAUCGUCAGUCUGGGAUUCCUGAACGUUUUAGUGGAAGUUACUCUGGUACAGAAUUUACUCUAAAAAUCACUGGAGUUCAGGCUGAAGAUGCAGGAGAUUAUUACUGUCAGCAGUAUAACAGCCUUCCCUUUACACAGUGUUAUUUACUGGUACAAAAACCUCCCUCAGCUGUAGAGGAAGUUCUCUGA